CCUACGGGAGGCAGCAGUGGGGAAUAUUGGACAAUGGGGGGAACCCUGAUCCAGCCAUGCCGCGUGUGUGAAGAAGGCCCUCGGGUUGUAAAGCACUUUCAGUGAGGAAGAACGCCUGGUGGUUAAUACCCAUCAGGAAAGACAUCACUCACAGAAGAAGCACCGGCUAACUCCGUGCCAGCAGCCGCGGUAAUACGGAGGGUGCGAGCGUUAAUCGGAAUUACUGGGCGUAAAGCGCGCGUAGGUGGCUUGAUAAGCCGGUUGUGAAAGCCCCGGGCUCAACCUGGGAACGGCAUCCGGAACUGUCAAGCUAGAGUGCAGGAGAGGAAGGUAGAAUUCCCGGUGUAGCGGUGAAAUGCGUAGAGAGCGGGAGGAAUACCAGUGGAGAAGGCGGCCUUCUGGACUGACACUGACACUGAGGUGCGAAAGCGUGGGUAGCAAACAGGAUUAGAUACCCGAGUAGUC
This 465-nucleotide ribosomal RNA is filed under the name Vreelandella stevensii. RNAcentral describes it as "partial 16S ribosomal RNA". It matches the Rfam family "Bacterial small subunit ribosomal RNA", at positions 338 to 795 of the family's 1533-position model. Lineage: Bacteria; Pseudomonadati; Pseudomonadota; Gammaproteobacteria; Oceanospirillales; Halomonadaceae. The record is from RNAcentral.